UGGGGGAUCGUCUAACGGUAGGACGGCUGCCUUUGAAGCAGUUAAUCUUGGUCCGAUUCCAAGUCCCCCAGCCA
RNAcentral lists this transfer RNA (74 nucleotides) under bacterium. Its description in RNAcentral is "tRNA-Gln". It matches the Rfam family "tRNA". From Rfam's summary of the family: Transfer RNA (tRNA) molecules are approximately 80 nucleotides in length. Their secondary structure includes four short double-helical elements and three loops (D, anti-codon, and T loops). The record is from RNAcentral.